This is a non-coding RNA of Ovis aries (sheep), 186 nucleotides long. It matches the Rfam family "7SK RNA". Rfam says of the family: 7SK was discovered as an abundant small nuclear RNA in the mid-70s but a possible function has only recently been suggested. Two independent studies have found that 7SK RNA binds the CDK9/cyclin T complex (known as elongation factor P-TEFb). The record is from Rfam. NCBI's taxonomy places the organism in Eukaryota, Metazoa, Chordata, Mammalia, Artiodactyla, Bovidae.
GAAUGUGAGGGUGACCUGGCUGUGACCCUGCCACACCAUUGAUUUCCAAGGCCCAUUAGACUGAUGUGGUGGCCCAGUGUCUUCUUUCUCCUUCACCUCCAUGUACCUCCAUCAAGCUUUAAGUUACUGGCUCAGACAACAGAAAUGUCCUCUCUCUGAUAAGAGAGGAUUUGUCCUUGGUAGGUG